Molecule: microRNA precursor, 68 nt
Filed under: Scleropages formosus (Asian bonytongue)
Lineage: Eukaryota; Metazoa; Chordata; Actinopteri; Osteoglossiformes; Osteoglossidae
Description: mir-139 microRNA precursor family
Rfam family: mir-139 microRNA precursor family
Source: Rfam by way of RNAcentral
CUGUAUUCUACAGUGCAUGUGUCUCCAGUGUUCAUAAGCUACUGGAGACACAGCCCUGUUGGAAUAAC